RNAcentral lists this ribosomal RNA (121 nucleotides) under Mandrillus leucophaeus (drill). Lineage: Eukaryota; Metazoa; Chordata; Mammalia; Primates; Cercopithecidae. The record is from RNAcentral.
GACAGCAGGGAUGGGCCAGUUUGAACGCGCCCGAUCUCGUCUGAUCUCGGAAGCUAAGCAGGGUCGGGCCUGGUUAGUACUUGGAUGGGAGACCGCCUGGGAAUACUGGGUGCUGUAGGCU